This 468-nucleotide ribosomal RNA is filed under the name uncultured bacterium. RNAcentral's name for it is "partial 16S ribosomal RNA". It matches the Rfam family "Bacterial small subunit ribosomal RNA", at positions 28 to 507 of the family's 1533-position model. The record is from RNAcentral.
GACGAACGCUGGCGGCGUGCUUAACACAUGCAAGUCGAACGGAAAGGCCCUGCUUUUGUGGGGUGCUCGAGUGGCGAACGGGUGAGUAACACGUGAGUAACCUGCCCUUGACUUUGGGAUAACUUCAGGAAACUGGGGCUAAUACCGGAUAGGAGCUCCUGCUGCAUGGUGGGGGUUGGAAAGUUUCGGCGGUGGGGGAUGGACUCGCGGCUUAUCAGCUUGUUGGUGGGGUAGUGGCUUACCAAGGUUUUGACGGGUAGCCGGCAUGAGAGGGUGACCGGCCACAUUGGGACUGAGAUACGGCCCAGACUCCUACGGGAGGCAGCAGUGGGGAAUAUUGCACAAUGGGCGGAAGCCUGAUGCAGCAACGCCGCGUGCGGGAUGACGGCCUUCGGGUUGUAAACCGCUUUCGCCUGUGACGAGGCGUGAGUGACGGUAAUGGGUAAAGAAGCACCGGCUAACUACGUG